GAGGAAUUAUGACUUUUAUAAGAUCUUCUCCCAGCCCGGCCUGUGACACAGGUCUAUAAUCCCAGAACUCUGGGAAGACGAGGCAGGAGGAUCUUAAGUCCAAGCUUACGUGAAGGGAUCUUCCCUCAAAAUAAAAUUUAAAAACAUAAAAUUAAAAUAAACUUCUGAGAAUGCAAUUGAGUGGAAGGUCCUGGAUUCAGUCUAUAUUAUCACACACACCCACCCUAAAUCUUCCUUCUUUGUUGUCUGGAAGACCUAUUUUUUCUAUAAAGGAAUGUCUGUUAACUACCUUUCCGCCUAGGGGGAAAUAACCUCCCCUCCCACUGUUCUGAGGAAUCUGGAGUGUGAAGAGUACUGGUGGGAGGAGCGGAAGAUUGUAUAAAAAUCUUUCGCCCUGGACGGCAGACCUGCUUUCAUCGCCUCUGGAACCAGGUCGCAGGGUAGCAGGAGAGGGUGACGGCAGCAGUGAGAACACAGCGGAAGGAAAAAGAUUAAUGCUGAUAAAACUGGGAAGCAAAAAAAAAGCAUCAAGAAGUAAGUUCGUUUUAUUUUAUUCAAUAGCAUUUUUGGUGUUAUAUCCUUUUCUGACUAGAAGUAGCAUACUCUUAUUUAAAAUACAUAAGCCCAUAAUUAUGAACCCAUCUAACAACUAACCUCCUGC
This 661-nucleotide long non-coding RNA is filed under the name Fukomys damarensis (Damara mole-rat). RNAcentral describes it as "lncRNA (ENSFDAG00000024794.1)". Lineage: Eukaryota; Metazoa; Chordata; Mammalia; Rodentia; Bathyergidae. The record is from RNAcentral.